RNAcentral lists this long non-coding RNA (878 nucleotides) under Fukomys damarensis (Damara mole-rat). Its description in RNAcentral is "lncRNA (ENSFDAG00000030067.1)". Lineage: Eukaryota; Metazoa; Chordata; Mammalia; Rodentia; Bathyergidae. The record is from RNAcentral.
CACAUAAGCUACAGGAUAUACCAAAUUUUGGCCUGGUAUAGUGCUGGGAAACGAAUAUUCAUCUUCUGAAGGGAGAAAAGUGUGUUGGGAGACACUCAUGACAGUAUACAGCUGAGAACAAAUGGGCAAGCAGACUCAUCAAAGGUGCAAAGUGAAGAGAGAGAGAGAGAGAGACAGAGAGAGAGAGAGCCACCGAGAGACAGAGACACAGGGACACAGAGAGAUGGCUUCUGCUUCUUGCAAAAGUAAGCGUUGUGCACACAAUCAAGCCUUAAGGAAGAAAAGUUUGGUAUUGCACCUGUAUGACAUACAUACUACUGGCAAAAAUCCUGAAAACACCAUAGACAGAAUAAGCCUGCAACACUGCAGAGACUAUUGAAGAGGUGUAGUUAUUGUUUUUGUUUCCUGAAAAAUAAAUAUUUCAAACAAUAUUGUACUGAGAUACAUAACCAGUAAAUUAUGUAAAUAAUAUGUACAUAAGUCAAUGAUUAGUCAUGAAGGCAAUAACUGUAUAAAUACCUCCAGAUCAAGAAUUAAAGUCUUUGCAACAUUCAAGAAUCUCACUCUCUUCUUCCUGUGAUGACCUUGGCCUUUGGCUCACAGGCAAGCCCUGAUUUCCUGCAUCCAAUCUGAACUGCAAUUCCUGCAAAAUUUAAUCUUUCUUACUCUCGCCUUCAAUCCUGAUGCAUAAACUAAGAGCUCUUAAACCACAGUCCCAGGAGCCUUCUUUCCAAAUGUUAAACCCUUAUCUGCAAGGGUCUGUCUAAAUCAGGGUUCCUCUGCCCAGCUGCUCAGCUGAGAUGUUCACCUGCGGGAGAGGAAAGUGGCCUGAAAUGUUGCCCUUGUUUCUCCGGGUGUUCCGGACUCUAGUACCCACA